RNAcentral lists this small RNA (369 nucleotides) under Histoplasma capsulatum var. duboisii H88. RNAcentral describes it as "Histoplasma capsulatum H88 hypothetical RNA". The record is from RNAcentral. Lineage: Eukaryota; Fungi; Ascomycota; Eurotiomycetes; Onygenales; Ajellomycetaceae.
CCUCGUUUCAGGACAAUAAUAAUUAACAAUGCUUGCUUCAGGACAGGAUAAUGAAUGAACGAAUUGCCCUUUGUCAUUCGUUUGUUAACCGGAGACCUGCAGAAAGAGAAGAAAUGAAAUUUCCUAUCUACAAGUCUAACAGAACUUCAGGGAGAAAAGAAGGGCUAUGUCCUGGCUAAUUUUAGCGUACCUUGACCUAAUCAUGUGGGCAGGGAAUUAAAUUUGGCUUGGGAACAAAGUCCUGGUGAUAAAACCCGUUUCAUUUCAGUUGGCCAAUUCCCAAAGGAUUUGGGGUUAUUAAGCUUGGGGGCAUGGUGCCUAGCCUUUGGUUGCUAAAUUAUUUAGGGGUGUGGAAGUUAUCGGAGCCCU